GAAAGUAAAUAAGGGCGUAUGGGGAAUGCCUAGGCUCUUGGAGGCGAAGAAAGACGUGGUAAGCUGCGAAAAGCUCCGGGGAUUUGCAAACAAGAUUUGAUCCGGAGAUUUCUGAAUGGGACAACCCGUCAGGUAGAAGACCUGACACAUCGCAAGAUGGGCCAACCCUCUGAACUGAAACAUCUUAGUAGGAGGAGGAAAAGAAAGAAACAUCGAUUUCCUGAGUAGCGGCGAGCGAAAGGGAAAAAGCCUAAACCGGUAUUGUUACGGCAAUGCCGGGGUUGUAGGACUGCAACAUUCAAGUAACAAUGAACUGGAACGAUCUGGAAAGUUCGUCCAUAGAGGGUGAAAGGCCCGUACAGGUAAGUUCGUUAUGCGAUAGCAGUAUCCUGAGUAGGGCGGGACACGAGGAAUCCUGUCUGAAUCUGCCGGGACCACCCGGUAAGGCUAAAUACUCCCAAGAGACCGAUAGUGAACCAGUACCGUGAGGGAAAGGUGAAAAGAACCCCGAACAGGGGAGUGAAAUAGAACCUGAAACCAUACGCUUACAACCGGUCGGAGCAGUUUCGUGCUGUGACGGCGUGCCUAUUGAAUAAUGAGCCUACGAGUUACUAAUCACUGGCGAGGUUAAGUGCACGGAUGCACGGAGCCGAAGCGAAAGCGAGUCUGAACAGGGCGGCUAGUCAGUGGUUGUAGACGCGAAACCUUGCGAUCUACCCUUGAGCAGGUUGAAGGUUGGGUAAAACCAACUGGAGGACCGAACGAAUAAGCGUUGAAAAGCUUCUCGAUGACUUGAGGGUAGGGGUGAAAGGCUAAUCAAGCUGGGAAAUAGCUCGUACUCCCCGAAAUGCCUUUAGGGGCAGCGUUGUAAUUAAGAGUCUACUGGAGGUAGAGCUACUGAUUGGAUGCGGGGGCUUCACCGCCUACCAAAUCCUGACAAACUCCGAAUGCCAGUAGUAUGAUUUACAGCAGUGAGCGACCGGGUGCUAAUGUCCGGUUACGAGAGUGGAACAACACAGACCAGCAACUAAGGUCCCGAAGAGUAUACUAAGUUGAUCUAACGAUGUUUUGCUGCAGAGACAGCUAGGAUGUUAGCUUGGAAGCAGCUAUUCAUUCAAAGAGUGCGUAACAGCUCACUAGUCGAGCGGCAAAGCGUGGAUAAUAAACGGGCAUCAAGUAUACCACCGAAGUUCUGGGCACGAAAGUGCGGUAGGGGAGCAUUCCAUUGACGUCGAAGCCAUUCCGCGAGGAUAGGUGGAGUUUAUGGAAAAGCAAAUGUAGGCAUGAGUAACGAUAAUGCGGGAGAGUAACCCGCACACCGCAAGACCAAGGUUUCCUGAUCAACGCUAAUCGGAUCAGGGUUAGUCGGGUCCUAAGGGUAAGCCGAACGGUGAUCUCGAUGGACAAUCGGUUAAUAUUCCGAUACUAACAUAUACCUCGAUGGAGAGACGAAGGAACGUAAGUGACGCCGCCUGACGGAAUAGGUGGUUAAAGGGUGUAGGUAUAGGGACAGAUUAAGAGUUAGUCCUUACUGAAACCCGACAGUACGGAGCGGCUACGGCCAAUCUGAUAGUUCACCCAAGUCGACUUCCGAGAAAAUCUUCUAAGUUAUAGUAUAUGUUACCCGUACCGUAAACCGACACAGGUGGUCGAGGAGAGUAUCCUAAGGUGCUCGAGUGAAUCACGGUUAAGGAACUAGGCAAAUUAACCCCGUAACUUCGGGAAAAGGGGUCCCUACGCGAGUAGGGCGCAGCGAAGAGGUCCAGGCGACUGUUUAUCAAAAACACAGGGCUCUGCAAAUUCGAAAGAAGACGUAUAGGGCCUGACACCUGCCCGGUGCUGGAAGGUUAAGAGGGGAUGUCAUCGCAAGAGAAGCAUUGAAUCGAAGCCCCAGUAAACGGCGGCCGUAACUAUAACGGUCCUAAGGUAGCGAAAUUCCUUGUCGGGUAAGUUCCGACCUG
Molecule: ribosomal RNA, 1961 nt
Filed under: human gut metagenome
Description: bacterial LSU rRNA
Rfam family: Bacterial large subunit ribosomal RNA
Source: RNAcentral